GUUGCAGUUAAAAGCUCGUAGUUGAACCUUGGCUCUGGCUGGCCGGUCCGCCUCACCGCGAGUACUGGUCCGGCUGGAGCUUUCCUUCUGGGGAACCUCAUGGCCUUCACUGGCUGUGGGGGGAACCAGGACUUUUACUGUGAAAAAAUUAGAGUGUUCAAAGCAGGCCUUUGCUCGAAUACAUUAGCAUGGAAUAAUAGAAUAGGACGUGCGGUUCUAUUUUGUUGGUUUCUAGGACCGCCGUAAUGAUUAAUAGGGAUAGUCGGGGGCGUCAGUAUUCAGCUGUCAGAGGUGAAAUUCUUGGAUUUGCUGAAGACUAACUACUGCGAAAGCAUUCGCCAAGGAUGUUUUCAUUAAUCAGGGAACGAAAGUUAGGGGAUCGAAGACGAUCAGAUACCGUCGUAGUCUUAACCAUAAACUAUGCCGACUAGGGAUCGGACGGGAUUCUAUUAUGACCCGUUCGGCACCUUACGAGAAAUCAAAGUUUUUGGGUUCUGGGGGGAGUAUGGUCGCAAGGCUGAAACUUAAAGAAAUUGACGGAAGGGCACCACAAGGCGUGGAGCCUGCGGCUUAAUUUGACUCAACACGGGGAAACUCACCAGGUCCAGACAAAAUAAGGAUUGACAGAUUGAGAGCUCUUUCUUGAUCUUUUGGAUGGUGGUGCAUGGCCGUUCUUAGUUGGUGGAGUGAUUUGUCUGCUUAAUUGCGAUAACGAACGAGACCUCGGCCCUUAAAUAGCCCGGUCCGCAUUUGCGGGCCGCUGGCUUCUUAGGGGACUAUCGGCUCAGCCGAUGGGAAGUGCGUGCAUAACAGGUCUGUGAUGCCCUUAGAUGUCUGGGCCGCACGCGCGCUACACUGAC
Molecule: ribosomal RNA, 860 nt
Filed under: uncultured fungus
Lineage: Eukaryota; Fungi
Description: SSU rRNA
Rfam family: Eukaryotic small subunit ribosomal RNA
Source: RNAcentral